ACGACAAAACCAAACCGAUACCCAAAUUUUUGUUCUCCUUCCCCAAACCCUAAACCUCUUCUUACACACCGCCUCUUUGUUCUCUAUUUCUCUCCCUCAUCUCUCUUCUCUACCCUUUCAACCUCUGAUUUGUUUUUCAAUCAAACCCGUUAAAACCCUAAACAUCAGAGUCAAUCACGUAGCCACUGAAUCAUCAUCACCAACAUUGAUUGUUUGUGCUAAUUUUUCUAUUAUAUACUAUCCUUUGUGAUGAAGCAGAGGGUAAAAGUGAAUGUUGCCCCAAAAUCUCCCGGUUCAAUUUCUCAAGAACUCCUUGGUAAGAUCUCCUUGAAUCCUCAAUCUUCCUUAUCUUCUUCCUUUUUUGUUGCUGUUGUCCUAAUCUAUUUGCUUAUAAUUAAUUUGUGGUUUUUGUUUCCAUAGUUUUUGAACAUUCUUGAAUUAGGACGAAAUCAAGAUGACUUUGAGGCUGAAGGAUUGAUUUGGGGUUUUUAUUAGUUUUGGGAUUUUGGGGUUCUUAAUUAGGGUUUGCUGCAAUUAUAGAUUUCAAUUGCUAAUAUGUUUCCUCUUUGUUCUUUUUUGUUUUUCCCAGGGAAACACCAUAGAAGAUCAAAUUCUACCUAUGCUUUGUCUCUUUGUGUUUUGAGGUACAGAGCUACAGCCAUGCUUAGCAUGCCAUCAACCUCAUUGAAAUUUAUGUUGCAUAAAGGAUAUAAGAAAGUUGUGUUGUUUUCACCUUGCAAUGGCAAACACAAGAUUUAGCAAAAUAAGUACAGCCUCCAAAGUUUUAUUCAGCAUAAAUAUAAUCAGGAUGAGAUUUUGAUUGGUUUCUCAUGUCAGGUGGUUUCUUUUACCCAAAUUUGUGUUGUGGACUUUUAUUAUUGCCCAUAAUCCAUCCUAUGAUCCUUGCUUGACACUUGAGGUUAGAAGAAAAGGAGAGAGCCCCCCUUUUUAAAAAUUUUUAUUUAUUCCGUAGCUAUUUUCAACCAAACAAGACUUGGUUUUUGGGCAUUAAUUGUAAGGCCAUGAAAGUUCUUAAAUUGAAGGAUUUACAUUGGCAACCUCUUAUUCUUAACUU
Molecule: long non-coding RNA, 1075 nt
Organism: Quercus robur (English oak)
Lineage: Eukaryota; Viridiplantae; Streptophyta; Magnoliopsida; Fagales; Fagaceae
Exons: 5
Source: RefSeq, a predicted model, not a curated record